GUGCCAGCCGCCGCGGUAAGACGUAGGGGGCAAGCGUUGUCCGGAAUUACUGGGCGUAAAGGGCGUGUAGGCGGUGCGGUACGUAGCGGUUUUAAGCCUCCGGCUCACCCGGAGGAGGGCGGCUAAACGGCAGCACUAGAGGGCAGGAGAGGUGCGCGGAAUUCCUGGUGGAGCGGUGAAAUGCGUAGAGAUCAGGAAGAACACCGGUGGCGAAGGCGGCGCACUGGCCUGGCCCUGACGCUGAGGCGCGACAGCGUGGGGAGCAAACGGGAUUAGAUACCCCGGUAGUCCACGCCGUAAACGAUGGAUACUAGGUGUCGCGGGGGUCCACCUCGCGGUGCCGGAGCUAACGCACUAAGUAUCCCGCCUGGGGAGUACGGCCGCAAGGUUGAAACUCAAAGGAAUUGACGGGGGCCCGCACAAGCAGUGGAGCAUGUGGUUUAAUUCGACGCAACGCGCAGAACCUUACCAGGACUAGACGGGAUCGUGAGCGCCGCGAAAGCGGCGGGCCCUUCGGGGAGCGAUCGUCAGGUGCUGCAUGGUUGUCGUCAGCUCGUGUCGUGAGAUGUUGGGUUAAGUCCCACAACGAGCGCAACCCUUGUCGUGUGUUGCCAGCGGUUCGGCCGGGCACUCACACGAGACUGCCGGUGACGAACCGGAGGAAGGUGGGGAUGACGUCAAAUCCGCAUGGCCUUUAUGUCCUGGGCUACACACGUGCUACAAUGGUCCCGACAACGGGCCGCGACGGCGCGAGCCUGAGCGAAUCCUUCAAACGGGACCUCAGUUCGGAUUGCAGGCUG
RNAcentral lists this ribosomal RNA (800 nucleotides) under uncultured bacterium. RNAcentral's name for it is "bacterial SSU rRNA". It matches the Rfam family "Bacterial small subunit ribosomal RNA", at positions 505 to 1307 of the family's 1533-position model. The record is from RNAcentral.